Molecule: unclassified non-coding RNA, 70 nt
Filed under: soil metagenome
Description: partial internal transcribed spacer 1
Source: RNAcentral
AUGAUUUUUUAUUAUUUGUGAACGUACUACGAACAAUCAAAAAAUAUUAUAGUCAAAAAAAAUUAAAUCA